GAACAAUCAUUUCCGGGUUUGUGGCGUUCGGAAGCCAAAACGUCCAAGUUCCAGGGCAUUCGGGAUCCAAGGUACGACUGUGCUGUACUUGCUUAUUCUUCAUCUUACUUUGAACAUAGCUGAGGAAACUGUUAUUAUUUUUAACCUCUCUUACAAGCCUGAGCUAAUUCUGAGCUUUGGCCUGCCUGACCUUCCCCCUGCAACUGUUGGCUAUUUGUAUAUACUCUUCCUUCAUGAUUCCCCCCCCCCUCCAUUUUUUAUAUAUGUCCUUAAAUAGUGGCUAUGUCCGGGAAAUUCUGGACGUAUGGCAACCUUAUUGUACCUACUUGGAUCAGAAGGAGAGGAUUGUAUUCAGUGGACUUAUAAGACUUUGCAACCUCCCCCCUAGUCCAGCGAUGAGAAAGCUCAGGCUCAUGGGACCUCCACUAAUUGCUAAUAUGCCACCCAGUGUAAUUCAGGGCGUUGAGAUUAGCCUAUUAAACUCCAUAAUGAACUAGAACCUAAAUACAUGCAGGAAAACCUCUGCGUAUAUCAAUCUUCUUCAGCUCCAACCUGCUGCGGACACAUUUAUUGUCUCUUGUCCUUUCACUUGAAGAUACAUAUGGCACCUUCACUAGUGGGUUUUCAUCACUGACUUGCCUUUUCAAACAGGCCUUGCCUGGGGGAGGGGGGAAUUGAGUGCAGUUAUUUGGUGAGACCAAUUAAAAUUUAAGUGUUCUGGAUGACAUGCAAUGAGGUCCACUCACUCAACAGAAAUUCAGCUGCAUGACAGUACCUCCAAUUUCUUUUAUCCCCCCUUCAGCCCCCUCACACACCCCAAAUUUGCUUGAGAAUGUCUCCCAACCCUCUGGAACAGAUUUAGGAGUCAUGGGAUGUUGCAGAGCUGGAGAGUAAACCACUAUUGCAUGUACGUAUGCUUGCUUGCACUACAUUGGACCUCACCUUUCAUUUGCUGUAGGAAUGCAGAUGUUGCGAUUGGUGUAAUUAUUUUAUGACUGUUUUGAUUGUUUUAAUAUAAAUAUUGUAGAUCACCCAGUGAUCUUGACAAAAAUAGAGGUUACACAAUGAAAUAAACAUAUCAGGUUUAAAAGAAACUAGAUGGAAGAAAUAUGUGGAACUCACUGCCACUGGUUCAGAAAAGAACUAAACACAUAUAUGAAUCAUAGGAAAAACAGCAGUUACUGGUUAAACAUGUCUGCACACAUCUGAAAAAAAUAUUUGGGAAUUUUAAUUCUUCCUUGAUUUGGAGGAAAGACCCAUAGGUAGCUGUGUAACCACCAGGUUCUAUGUGGGGUUAGGCACAACUAACUGCAUAGGAAAUAAUCCUCACUGAACUAAACAUGCAUAGGAUCAGAUUGCACUAUCCUAGCCUGUUUUUGCAUUUGAACUCGUCGUUCAUGUUUAUUCUACCAUCGCGUGGGUUUAUUUAUUUUCCCCUGCGGCGCUUAAAUACAUUGUAUUGCAAUCAGCCCCGCACAUCUGGAACAGGCAGCUGUCACUAUUUCUGGUGGUGACAGAUCUGUCUCUGAGGCUGCGCUGACUGACUUGACUUCUGGAGGCCAGUGCACAAAAGGAAACUCCUUUUCUCAAUUAUUAAUAGCUCAAAGGAAAGAGGCCGCAUCGCCGCAGAAGAAGCAACUUCCACCCUGGGAAGAUUUCUCUGCUAAAAAUGGAGGUGAAAUCUUUUGGUGAUGGGUCCUUUCCCGCUCCUGCAAAACGAGCCAGCUUCUCGCCCUUUGCUGGGAAACCUAAUAACAGCGUUCAGGUUGCAGGCCGCAUGCAACCUCACACUGUACAGCCUGAGUUUCAAGGGCAAAACUCAAGUUGAACGCUCGCCUGGCCGCGAGUCUGUCAGCCAUGGCCUCUCCCCGCUGUGUGGCAAAGCGGCAGCUCGCUGCAGAGCUAACAAGGCGCCUGCGCGGGAGCAGCAGCCGUAGGCCCGGAGCAGCCAAGAAACGGGAAGCUCCGCCCAAGCUGAUAGCCAUAUAUGGCAACUAGGCCCUCGGGGGUGACGUCAUGGGCUCGCUGAACUCUAAUAUGGGGCAGGUUUUCUCCUGAAUGACUGGCUGCCAGGCAGUCGGGAAAGACGCCUCUAGGAGCUUUUGACAGCUUCGCUGCAGAGGUCAGCCAAGGGGAGGAAACGAGGGGCCUGCAGACUGGGAGAGAAGUCUGCCUGCGGAAGGGGGAUCUCGACUAGAGGCACCCCCUCGAUGGCUGCAAAGGAAAAUCACGUUGCCUGACAAUAGGAGGAAAGGAGCUCCACUCACAGGCAGCCUGAGAGCUGUAGUGGGAUGUCCUCCCACAGGAAUCCUUCUAUUUUUAAAUCUCACUCUUUACUACAGCUUUACUAUGAGCAUAAAAAGCAGAGCAGGGACUGCAGCAAGCAAGUCUAAGACCGCCGUUCUCCUCCUAAGCAUAAUCAAAUUUCGCUGAAAUCAGUGGGCUUUCAAAGUAGAUCAAGAUGGAAGGCAUACUGUUUUUACAAAGUGGGUUUCCACCAUCACUAAUAAAAAGCUACCGAGGAAUGUGGAAUGCAAAAGGAAAAAGGCUAAGAAACGGCUCCGGCUUACACAACUGUAAUUAGGCUUGUCUUUGCAGGGGCCUUCAAGAAGCUGCAGCUCUCUUUUAUUUUGCUGCAUUUAAACCAUUAGCCUCAUGUGCAAAGAUGUUAAUUCAAGCUGCCCCCCCCCCAAUUUAUUUUUUACAGUCAUCAACUUGCACACCUUUUCAAUGAAUGCAUUUAUGAUCAAUUUCAAAGAAGAAAUGAUUGGUGUGUUUAGAGAUAACAUUUAUUAUGUCAUAAACUCUUGUGGUCUACAGACCACUUCCUCAGAUGCAAAAAUGCUUUUACAGUAAUAAAUGAAUAACAAUACAAUCCUCUACAUAUUUACUCAGAAGCAAGUCUCUCAUAGUUUAAUAGAGUUUAUGCCCUUGUAACUACACUCUUGUGUGUUUACUGCAGCUUAAAACUGCAAUUGCACAAUCCUAGACAUAUCUACUCAGAGGUAAGUCCUAUUAAGUCCAACAGGGAUUUCUCCUGGGAAAGUUAAGAUUAUAACCAAACUCUAUGAGGACUACAGAAUUUUGUUUUGUUUUGCGGCAACAGACUAACAGGACUACCUGUUUAGAUAUUAGUCAGGAGACGUUAUCUUAAGUACCUUUGAAAUAUUUUUACAUGUAAACACUAUAAAUUUUAUUUGGUUUAUGGUGGAAUAGACAUGGCAUCUCUAAGGUGGCAUCUCUAAGGUUACUUACAGUUGUCUACCUCCCUUUCUAGCUCCAAACUCUGAAGGAGGGCUGGAGCUCAUCCCUGACAUGCUCCUCCGCCUCUGAGGCACUUGGAGCACCUCCACAGCACAGCGCUGCACAGGUUAGUCCUCCUAAUCUUGGAGUUGGGAAGCUGAGACAUUCCUGUCAUCACACCACAUUUCGGACAUGCUCCAAGCAUCUCCACAGUCCAGCAUGACAUAAAUGAUCCCCAUCCUGAGCACUGUUUGUGGACUCCUUGCCCUUACAAGUGUUCAGCAGCACCUUUCACCGAAGGGUUGCUGUAACCCAUGCAUUAUAAUGUGCAUUCUUAGAUUAAUACUUUAAAGCUGUAUUACCUGAGAAUACAUUUUUCCAUCUUAAGCUGCUAUGACAUCAUGCUAGGUGACAAAAAUGUAAUUAAAUCAAGUGUGUUGAUAGGCUUCUGCUCUUUGACAUUAAAAUGUGCAGGAACAUUGUGUUACACUACUGCAGAUUGAAGGCUGGAAGGAUAUAUGGCUUUUACAUCAAUAUUAUUGCAAGUCAACUGAAUCUUUUCCAGUCAGGAAUCAGUUUUUCAGCCUUUUUUAUUAACCAUUUCUAGAUAACUCUUCAAUGUGCCUUAGAAAUUCCACAUCAUUUAUCUCCACAACAGCCCUGUAAGCCAGUUGAAAUUGAGGAAAAUGAAACUUGCCCAGGACCACAGAGCUAAGUAGAUAUUUGAAUGUGGGUCUCUCACACCUCAAAACAACACUCCUGGUACUGCAAUACACUGACCACCACUGUCUUGAUGGAAAACAGCAUUCUUGCCUUAUCCCAGGUGAAACUGUUGGUCCAUCUACCACAGAAUGGCCAAUUCUGACAUGAAAUGGUUCUCCAGCCUUGAGCAGAGCUAUUUCAAAUCACCUGUUACCUAAUCCUUUUAUUUUAAAUAGGAGAUGCCAAGAAAGCUGGGACCUUCUGCCAAUAAGACAGAGGUCAACCAUCUUUUUGUGUGGGCCAGUGAAUUGUGGCAUAACACAAAAUGGCUGCCAUGGAGCAUGGCAUAGCACAAAAUGGCUGCCACAUGGGCACAGCAUAGCACAAAAUGGCUGCUGUAGAGGUGUAGCAUAGCACAAAAAGGCUGUCAGAUCUAAAAGAGUAGAAAGGGACAGGCCCACAAAAUGGUACGUGUAUGCAUCAGUGUGGGUGAAAGAACCUACAUCAGCCAUUACUACACUCACUAACAGAGAGAAGCUCUUUGCACCUCUCCAUUAUUCAGAAGGUGAGUGGGUGUGCAGUACUGGAAUCACAUGAAAUGUUUAAGGCAGGUGUUCAGUGUAGGAGAGACCCAGCCAGUGCAAACAGAAACAGAGCUGGAAGAGCAAACAUCCUCGCAUACAUUGUGGAUUUUUGAAGGGGUAUUUACUGAGGCCUUUUGCAGGUGCCAUGGGAGGUAGUGGCAGGCACACUGGUGCCUAAGGGCACCACAUUGGCGAUUCCUUGAGGGUAUCUGCUCUACUACUGAACUAGUCUAAUGCAGGCGUGCUGACUCUGGAAAAAUAUUGGGGUAGAGGGGCUGACAUCGUGCACAACACCACACCCAGAUACUGUGUGUGACGCUCAGACGUCUGAUGCGACAGUGUCACAUGUCACGUUCAGGCGUUGCACGGCAGCUUGGCUUCCAUAACCGGCAGCUCCUCCGCCUCCUCCUGCCACCUCCUGCUUCCCCUCUGCAGCAGCAAGAGGAGGAGCCACCACAUUCCUGGCUCGUGCAAUUGUGCAAAGCCUCAACAUCAUGCACAACAGCGUCAUGUUUGGGCAUUGCACCCAGACAAACAUUGAGGGGGCUCAAAGGGGUUCAGCCCCUAGGAGUCGGUGCCCCUGGUCUAACCUCAUCAAUGGACAUAGGCCUGAGACGAAUUAUUUAUAUGAAAUUAGUAUAUACACAAUUAGUAGUAGUUCAAGGACUGAAUGGCAAAAUGAUCUAAAGACUGGAUACAUAGUUAACAUUUUGCAUUGCAAUGUAGUUUUAUUGCUAUGAACAAGGCUGGUUCCAGGUUUGAGGAAACCCUAAGCAGGCUGCCUUUUGGGUCCCCAGCAGCACUAUCGGUGGCUUACCUUGAAAAGCAGGAUUCCUGCUACCACUUUUCUCAGUGCCUCUCUAGUGAGAGUCUGGCAGUUUGGCUUAACAAGGCAGGGACAGAGUCGGGCAGCAGCUUACCCUGGAACAGUUGAGCUAAAACAGCUGCAAUAUCACCAUCUUUAUUACCCUAUGGAUGGUAACUGUCCAGCUUGGGGGGGGGGGACUAAUUUAAACAAAUUAAAAGAAAUGAUAGCACUAACCCUGAAUGGGUUCCAGCAUUUGCUCCUCUGUGCUGGGCACUGACAUGGGGUUGGACUACAAAACUCUGUAUGUGGUUUCGUUCAGUGGAUUUGUUGGGUUCAGAUCCCAUUUGAGCUACUUAAAUCUCAACCUCUCAGCAAUCUGUUCCAUUGGAUGGAGUCCUGUUUUGAUCUCCACCUUUUAGAUCAGGAGUAAGGAACCUUAUUCUGCUCAAAGACGGCAUUCUUUUUGUUCAGAGGCUACGUGCCAGUGGUGGGACAGAUGAAAAAGUGGGUAGAGCAAAAGCUAUGACUCUUACCUUUGUACAGAGUAGACUACAUUCAAACCCUCCCAAAAGUCAAGUAAGAAACAUUAUCAAGGAUAGAUUCUAGUCAAGCACAUGAGGGUGGUUCGAAAACAAGGCCAGUGAGGGAUGUGAUCGUUUGUGGUCUAGGAAGGGGGCACAGCCCUGGAAGAGUCCUAUGGACUAGAAGGGCCUGUGGGGGCCACAUUCAGCUUGUGGGCCUGAGGUUCUGAACUCCUGCUUUAGAUGCUUUUACUCGUGGCUUCUUUCCUAUAUUGAGGAAACUUCUGGGUGUCCUUGGGCAAGUCAUAUUAUCUCACCCUGACUCACCUUAUCUUGCCUGUAAAAUCAUAGUAGCAAUAGUAAUGGUUCUGCAUUUCACAUAAUUUUUGUGAAGAUUAGCAAGGAUAACAUGCCAGUGAGUCACUACCAACAAUAUACAAAUAGUAUUAUUUUUCUCCCACAGCAUUUAUAAACUGUUUAGUAUUUUUAAAAAAAUCUCAGCAGUGAAAUAUAAAUGUGGAGGAUGUUUCGCUUUUGGUUUUGUUUUUUAGCUCAGGGUUUCUGAGAAGAGAGAUUACACUCACACCCUGAAAGCAGACUCUGAAAGUCUGGCUCUGCUGACUGGCCAAAAUAAUAGUCAGGCAUCUGAUAUUUACAGCCAGUCCAGGCAAUCUGGAGGGUUCAUAUUGUCUGCCAAUCACAAGAACUGAUGUUGCACAAACCUCUUCCCUUCUCUACCUUCUCUCAAAGAAGCUUGUGGUAAUUUACUAGCCUCAGACACAAAGAUACUAUUGCCUGCCAUGGCAAUCUCUAAGCAGUGCAAGAUUCCAGGGGUUCCAAGCAAUUACCCAGGACUCAUGUUUCCUUUUGGAAUGUGGCCCAGCGGAGACUGUGGUGUCUUUAUGAUAUAUGGUUUAUUUACAAAAAUAUACAACUUGAGCCUACAGUGGAGGGGUUCACAGCAUUAACACCCAAGGGUCUUGCUUGUCCCUAGCUGCAGCCUUGGAUUCAAAUAGAAAUCAAACACUGCUCUGAAAAUAUUGUUCUGACUCUCUCUCCAGCUUGCUGCUUUCCUUGUAGGUGAUAUCACUCCAACUUUCAACUCUAAACUCUGGCUUUGUCCUUCUAACUGACUGAGGGCUUUGCGAGCUGACUGGGGGAAGGGACCCAUCCAUUUGUCAUCUCACACAGAGCCCCUUUCCUUUGUCUUUCUUAAUGGCUGUCACCUCAACACAGAAGAGGAGGAGUUUGGAUUUGAUAUCCCGCUUUAUCACUACCCUAAGGAGUCUCAAAGCGGCUAACUUUCUCCUUUCCCUUUCUCCCCCACAACAAACACUCUGGCUUAUAUUUUAACACUUUCUGGAUCCAGGGUUUAGAAGGGUCUUGCAUACAGCCUACUUCCUGUCUCAAUAAACUCAGCAUACCAGUCCCAGACUCAGACACAGCAUUGCAGUCUCUGAUAUAAUAUAUUCAAACUCAGGCAACAGAAAAAUAAUAUUUUUAUUGUAGAGUAUUUUGACAAAUUUACACUGCUCUACCAGCUAGGCCUCAUCCAGGCUGCUUCUUUCCAGUAGUGUUAGCUUGCUUGUUGUUUUGGUUGACUGUGUGUCAGAGCAGGAAGAAUUGGCAAAUCCAAUGUACAGCAGACUUGGAGAAGAAAACAAUUGACAAAAUAAGUAUCCACCCCUCUUUGUUUUUGCUCUCCCUUGACAGAGGUUCCUGAAUUUAAUUAUAGCUCACAGAGAAGUAUUCUGCUGAAUUACUGAAACUCUCAAUAAGGACUAGAUUCUGAUUUUCCUAAUUAGCAUCUGAGCAUUUGGAAACCUCGCCAACAUCCUCAGCCUAAAAAUGAACAUACAGGCUGCAAUGAGUCUAGUGGUUAUUUCUGCCAGCCAAGAGCUGCCAACCAAAUCUAUGAAUAUAAAAAUGUAUAGGAAAUGAGAGGGCAAGCAUCACAUGGCCUUGUAAUAUGCUUCCUGGAACAGAGCUUGACGCCAUUUGUAAUCAUCUGAAGUUUGCAAAACAGAGCUAAUGAUGUGGUGACCAAGAUGAUAGCUCAAGAGCCUGAAGUAAAAUAAAGCAAACAUUAAAAGAAAAUCAUUGUUUUACUAAUGGGAUGAGGACUGGUUUGUAAACUCAUUCUUUGUAAUGCCAAGUUGAAUUUCUAGUAACUGGGAGUAAUUCCCAGGAUACUGAAACCUCACCUACAUCUGCAUGGUAUUGGCUCACCUAGAACACUUACGUAUUAUAAACGGGCAGCAACUGAGGAGGAAUGCAGAAGACACUUCAAAGUAGGGAAUAGUUUAAGGCUUAAAACCUGUAAGACUGGAACCUUGAUUCUGAGUUAAGUGUAUGUCCUGUCAAUCAGGAUCUGGAAAAAGCCUUUUAGCUCAACAUUAAAAGGCUGAACAAUCCCUGAAUAUAUAGUUGGUAGAGUGUUGUGUUUGGACCAGGGUGACCUGGGUUUCAAAAUCUUAUGCUCAUCCAUGAGACUCUGAGUCAGUUCUUCCACCUUUCAGCCUAACCUACCUCACAGGGUUGUUGUGAGAAUAAAAUGGAAUAAUUGCCUUGGAGGGAAGGCAGGAUACACAUAUGCUUAGUAAAUAAUGAGUCAUUGACAAUGCUCUUUACACAGCAGACAGGUUCUCAAGAGUGACAGAACCACUCUCUGUGACUCCCCAUUGCACCAUCAAGGGAAAUGCAGGAAAAGGGUGUGACUAACAAAAACUUGUCUUUUGCAUGCCAUUACUUUCUGUUGUUGGUCAGCAGGCCAGGGAGCAGACUAGUUUCGCUAAAAGUUAAAGAAAGGGCAAACUUCACCAGGACUCAGUUUGGGGCAAGUCACAUUAAAAAGAAAGGGGCAGGGCUUGAGCAGGAUCAUGGAUGAGCUCUUGCAUGACUAUAGGGCUGUUAGAAAGGUUUAUUUAAGCAGGAAACAGCAACAGUGCCCCACUGUUUUUUUGAACAUUUGCGCUAUGGUAUGCACUAUGCAUCCCUAAAGCUUGGAGAGGUCCAUGAUUAUAGAAUCAUAGAAUAAUUAGAGUUGGGUGGUCUAUAAAUCUUUAUACAUAAAAAAGCCAGCUAAGCAUUUGGCUACACUGUGCCAUUUGUUUACUUUAAAAAUACAGUAGCAUUACUAAAAUGCUUUCAGGGCUUCUUUACCCUCAUUAGGCAGUGGUGGCUGGUGCCCAAUGGGGCUGGUAGGAAGGAAUGUAGGGAGGUCAACAGUAGGCGGAGCCAGAGCCAAUGACAGAUGGAAGAGCUGAUUAAUUCUAAUUUUAUUCCACCCAGACCUUGGACUGCUUGUAAAUAAAACAGCAGGUGAGAUAGGUGGGGCAGUGCCCUAUAUGCCCUAAUGGUCUACCCUCUACUGUAAUUACGGUUGGAAGGCCCCCUGUGCAUACCUAACAUCUUAGUAUCUGUACAAAUCAGUUUUUAAGUAUUUUUACUAUCAUGUUUUCUCCCUCCCCUUCAAGGAACCCAGGGAAUUCGUCAUUCUGAGAGAGGCUGGUCUCUAGCAGAAAACAUUCUGCAUCUUUACAGAACUCGUCCUUAGCUUCCCUUUGGGUAACCAAUGCUAAUUAAACAG
This 9447-nucleotide long non-coding RNA is filed under the name Podarcis lilfordi (Lilford's wall lizard). The record is from RNAcentral. Lineage: Eukaryota; Metazoa; Chordata; Lepidosauria; Squamata; Lacertidae.